GCUGGCGGCGUGCCUAACACAUGCAAGUCGCACGAGAAAGGGUAGCAAUGCCUGAGUAAAGUGGCGCACGGGUGAGUAACACGUGAAUAAUCUACCUCCGAGUGGGGAAUAACUGAGAGAAAUCUUAGCUAAUACCGCAUAACACUUACGAGUCAAAGCAGCAAUGCGCUUGGAGAGGAGUUCGCGGCAGAUUAGUUAGUUGGCGGGGUAAUGGCCCACCAAGACGAUGAUCUGUAUCCGGCCUGAGAGGGCGCACGGACACACUGGAACUGAAACACGGUCCAGACUCCUACGGGAGGCAGCAGUGGGGAAUUUUGCGCAAUGGGGGAAACCCUGACGCAGCAACGCCGCGUGGAGGAUGAAAUCCCUUGGGAUGUAAACUCCUUUCGAUAGGGAAGAUAAUGACGGUACCUAUAGAAGAAGCCCCGGCUAACUUCGUGCCAGCAGCCGCGGUAAUACGAGGGGGGCAAGCGUUGUUCGGAUUUAUUGGGCGUAAAGGGUGCGUAGGCGGUUUGGCAAGUCUUGUGUGAAAUCUUUGGGCUCAACCCAAAGUCUGCAUAAGAAACUGCCGGGCUUGAGUAUGGGAGAGGUGAGUGGAAUUUCCGGUGUAGCGGUGAAAUGCGUAGAUAUCGGAAGGAACACCUGUGGCGAAAGCGGCUCACUGGACCAUUACUGACGCUGAGGCACGAAAGCUAGGGGAGCAAACAGGAUUAGAUACCCUGGUAGUCCUAGCCCUAAACGAUGAUUGCUUGAUGUGGCAGGUACCCAAUCCUGCCGUGUCGAAGCUAACGCGAUAAGCAAUCCGCCUGGGGAGUACGGUCGCAAGGCUGAAACUCAAAGGAAUUGACGGGGGCCCGCACAAGCGGUGGAGCAUGUGGUUUAAUUCGACGCAACGCGAAGAACCUUACCUGGGCUCGAAAUGUAGUGGAAUCCGGCAGAAACGUCGGCGUCUAGCAAUAGACCGCUAUAUAGGUGCUGCAUGGCUGUCGUCAGCUCGUGUCGUGAGAUGUUGGGUUAAGUCCCGCAACGAGCGCAACCCUUAUCUACAGUUGCUACCAUUUAGUUGAGCACUCUGUCGAAACCGCCUCGGAUAACGGGGAGGAAGGUGGGGAUGACGUCAAGUCCUCAUGGCCUUUAUGUCCAGGGCUACACACGUGCUACAAUGGCCGGUACAAACCGCUGCAAACCCGCGAGGGGGAGCUAAUCGGAAAAAGCCGGCCUCAGUUCGGAUUGGAGUCUGCAACUCGACUCCAUGAAGCUGGAAUCGCUAGUAAUCGUGGAUCAGCAUGCCACGGUGAAUACGUUCCCGGGCCAA
This 1315-nucleotide ribosomal RNA is filed under the name metagenome. RNAcentral's name for it is "bacterial SSU rRNA". It matches the Rfam family "Bacterial small subunit ribosomal RNA", at positions 35 to 1382 of the family's 1533-position model. The record is from RNAcentral.